GGAAUAUUGGGCAAUGGGGGCAACCCUGACCCAGCCAUGCCGCGUGAAGGAUGACUGCCCUCUGGGUUGUAAACUUCUUUAGAAUGGGAAGAAAAGCUAGGAUUUAUCCUAGUCUGACGGUACCAUUAAAAUAAGCACCGGCUAACUCCGUGC
Molecule: ribosomal RNA, 153 nt
Filed under: uncultured bacterium
Lineage: Bacteria
Description: partial 16S rRNA
Rfam family: Bacterial small subunit ribosomal RNA
Source: RNAcentral